RNAcentral lists this ribosomal RNA (555 nucleotides) under Triticum aestivum (bread wheat). RNAcentral's name for it is "partial small subunit ribosomal RNA". Lineage: Eukaryota; Viridiplantae; Streptophyta; Magnoliopsida; Poales; Poaceae. The record is from RNAcentral.
AUGACGGAGCUUCUCCAAAACCCAUCAUCAAUGUCUAGAGCUUGCAACGAGCUUGCAGAAGUUAUUGGACCCAAAAUAAACAUUGACAAAGAUGAUAUUGUUUGGUUGCCCUAUCUCCAAGCUGUUAUAAAAGAGACUUUUAGACUUCAUCCUCCUGGCCCGAUCUUGUUGCCACGCAAACCCGAGAGAACAUUGCAAAUAGCAAGUUACACAAUACCUAAAGAUUCACGUGUGUUCAUAAACAUAUGGGCGUUAGGUCGAGAUAAUGAUGUAUGGACUGAACCUGAGAAGUUCAUGCCAGAGAGGUUCCUGGGUUCACCAGUUGAUUUUAAGGGUGCCAAUUUUGAGCUCCUUCCAUUUGGUGCCGGACGUCGGAUCUGCCUUGGAAUGCCAUUGGCUAUUAGGAUGGUGCAUUUGGUCUUCACUUCGUUGUUAAAUCAAUUUAAGUGGAGCCUCCAUGUUGAGCUUGAAAGGGAUGGGAUUGAUAUGGAAGAAAAGUUUGGCCUAUCACUUACGAAGGUCGUGCCCCUUCGUAUUGUACCAACACCGAUUUGA